CACACUCUUAUGCAUAAUGAGACAUGGACACUGGUUCCCCCUCUGCCUCGCGUCAACAUCAUUGAUUCUAAGUGGGUUUUCAAAGUCAAGAGACAUGCGGAGGGAUCUAUUGAGCGCUACAAGGCGCGUCUCGUGGCUAGAGGGUUUAAACAGCGUCGGGGUCUGGACUACGAGGACACAUUCAGCCCGGUUGUUAAGCCUACUACUAUCCGGCUUCUCCUGUCUCUUGCAGUCUCUCGUGGUUGGUCUUUUCGACAGCUUGAUGUGCAGAAUGCUUUUCUCCAUGGGCUGCUUGAAGAGGAGGUUUACAUGCGACAGCCACCAGUGUUUGUUGAUCACGCUCAGCCUCAUCAUCUCUGUCGUCUGACGAAGGCUCUCUAUGGACUGAAACAGGCGCCUCGUGCCUGGCAUGCUCGCCUUGCUUCGGCCCUUUGUACUCAUGGCUUUGUUCCGUCGACAGCUGACAACUCGCUGUUCUUAUUUCAGCGCCCCAGUGUGACUGUGUAUUUGCUUGUGUACGUGGAUGACAUUAUUCUGGCCAGCUCCUCUGCAACGGCUGCUGAUGCUCUGGUGACUACACUUGGCAGAGAUUUUGCGGUAAAAGACUUGGGGCAGCUACACUUCUUCCUGGGCAUUGAAGUUGCACAUCAGUCUCGUGGCAGCUUAGCUCUCACCCAGAAGAAGUACUCCCUUGACCUCUUGCGCCGUGCUGGUAUGCUCAAGUGUAAGCCAUCCCCCACACCCAUGUCCUCUACUGACAAGCUCUCGGCUACUGCUGGUACUAUUCUCUCUCCUACGGAUGCUACGGAGUAUCGGAGUAUUGUUGGUGGCUUGCAGUAUCUGACCAUCACACGCUCUGAUCUUUUCUUUGCGGUUAACAGGGUAUGUCAGUAUCUUCAUGCUCCUACUGAUGUGCACUGGUCUGCUGUGAAGCGCAUUUUUCGUUGUGUGCGUCUCACUGUCUCCUAUGGUCUUCAUCUGCGACCUAGUUCCUCUGCUAUUAUAUCUGCAUUCUCAGAUGCUGAUUGGGCUGGGUGUCCGGAUGACAGGCAAUCC
RNAcentral lists this ribosomal RNA (1056 nucleotides) under Triticum aestivum (bread wheat). RNAcentral describes it as "partial small subunit ribosomal RNA". Lineage: Eukaryota; Viridiplantae; Streptophyta; Magnoliopsida; Poales; Poaceae. The record is from RNAcentral.